UUCAUCUUACAAACACACUUCCGGAAUACCAAGUAGUAUGAGAUUUGCCUUCGAUUCUCUAAUUGCAUAAAUGGCUGGAAGGAGAGCAAAGCAGUGCCUGUUAAUAAUCUUCGGCCGACCGAAUACACUCGGCCGAGGUUCGCUUUAGGGCCACAU
Molecule: small nucleolar RNA, 156 nt
Filed under: Sugiyamaella lignohabitans
Lineage: Eukaryota; Fungi; Ascomycota; Dipodascomycetes; Dipodascales; Trichomonascaceae
Source: RNAcentral